Long non-coding RNA from Egretta garzetta (little egret), 185 nucleotides. RefSeq lists it as uncharacterized. NCBI's taxonomy places the organism in Eukaryota, Metazoa, Chordata, Aves, Pelecaniformes, Ardeidae. The record is from RefSeq and is a predicted model, not a curated record. The transcript is spliced from 3 exons.
CAGAUUCUGAAGACGAGCUGCUGCAUCGAUAAUCUGAGGAAGGGAGUUCUCUGUUAAGACUGCAAGAAGAUACUACCAACUGACUGGAGGCCAAGAACAGAGUGCAGCGCUGGCUGUAGGUUUGCUGGCAUGGGUAAUCUCAUUAAGGUGCUAACCAGGGACAUAGACCACAAUGCAGCACAUUU